This is a non-coding RNA of Schizosaccharomyces pombe (fission yeast), 672 nucleotides long. The record is from the annotation of a GenBank genome assembly. NCBI's taxonomy places the organism in Eukaryota, Fungi, Ascomycota, Schizosaccharomycetes, Schizosaccharomycetales, Schizosaccharomycetaceae.
CGCGAAGUUUUGUAAGAGUCAUAGCAAUUUCUCCCAUGAUACAAAAAUAACCACAGGAAUCAGGUAAAAUAACUUGUCGAUCAUCAACGAGGGAAACUUCAAACUUGUGCGAGAACAUAUCCAUCCAAGGGGGAAGUAUUUGUUCAAGAAAUACACGAACAUGUUCAGCUUUCGUUUCUUUAUAAAUCUCAAUAAGUUCUAGGCAAGAACGAAACAGUUUAAUUCCUCUAGCUUGCAACAUCCUCAUGGAAUCAUUAGGGGGAGCGGAAAAUAUAAACUGAUAGAGAAUGGAUGCAAGUUGAGGUGCAAUAAUAAAGAACUGUUCUUCAACAAGGGACUCAUCUACAAGCUCGUCCAGAACAUCCAGUGAAGCAUUAAUAGAGUUUUCAUUAGUAGAUUGUAAAAGAUGCAGAACGGCCGGUACAACUUCUGGCCAUUCAUCGGGAUAAUCCACGUUUGCAAUUAGAGAAACAGCAUAUGCCACAGCCUUGAUUAAAGUGAAAUUGUCAAGGCUCACUAAAAGAUGUAAUAGUGUUUCUCUGACAUGUUUUUUGACAUUUUCAUCGGGUAUCGGUCCAUCUUGAAAUUGCUCAAACAGUGGAGACCAAUGGUGAACAAUAUAUCUUUGUAAAUAAAUGAGAGAACCUUGUCUUAAAGGAACAGAAGCACCAG